AUAAAUAUAACCAUUGGCCAAAACACUUCCUCACCCUGUUCAGAGUCAUGAUAAUGCAUUUAAAGCUGUGUUGAAAAGCUAAGUUUGGGGUAAAAACCCCAAAAGCUCUAAAAGCCCAAGAAAGUGCAAAAACAAAAGAAAAAGAAAAAAUUGAUGAGUCGAGAAAAAGAAAGAAAAAUAAAAAGAGAAAAAUGAUAACUCAAAGAUUCAAAAGAAAGAAGCACGGAAAAAGGGCAGUCGGAAAAGAAAACCGGGGAAAUAAAAGAAACAAACACAGGAUGUAACAUCGACUCUGAACCAAAAGCCACUUGUUUUCCUUUUUUAAUCCAUACCCUAACCCAAGCCAAG
This 348-nucleotide long non-coding RNA is filed under the name Lathyrus oleraceus (garden pea). RNAcentral describes it as "Pisum sativum (pea) long non-coding RNA (PSAT_LNC027440)". The record is from RNAcentral. Lineage: Eukaryota; Viridiplantae; Streptophyta; Magnoliopsida; Fabales; Fabaceae.